AGCAGCCGCGGUAAUUCCAGCUCCAAUAGCGUAUAUUAAAGUUGUUGCAGUUAAAAAGCUCGUAGUUGAAUUUCGGGAUCAAGUCGUCGGUCGUGCCUCGGUACGCACUGGUGACAUUGGUUUCUCCCUUCUGAAGAACCUUGAUGUCAUUAAUUUGGUGUCUUGGGGAAUCAGGACUGUUACUUUGAAAAAAUUAGAGUGUUUAAAGCAGGCUCACGCUUGAAUACAUUAGCAUGGAAUAAUGAAAUAGGACGUUUGAUUCUAUUUUGUUGGUUUCUAGGAUCGACGUAAUGAUUAAUAGGGAUAGUUGGGGGCAUUAGUAUUCAAUUGUCAGAGGUGAAAUUCUUGGAUUUAUUGAAGACUAACUACUGCGAAAGCAUUUGCCAAGGAUGUUUUCAUUAAUCAAGAACGAAAGUUAGGGGAUCGAAGACGAUCAGAUACCGUCGUAGUCUUAACCAUAAACUAUGCCGACUAGGGAUCGGAUGAUGUUAAUUUUAAUGACUCAUUCGGCGCCUUACGG
This 520-nucleotide ribosomal RNA is filed under the name uncultured Glomeromycotina. RNAcentral's name for it is "SSU rRNA". It matches the Rfam family "Eukaryotic small subunit ribosomal RNA", at positions 569 to 1093 of the family's 1831-position model. The record is from RNAcentral. Lineage: Eukaryota; Fungi; Glomeromycota.